RNAcentral lists this ribosomal RNA (2134 nucleotides) under Candidatus Nomurabacteria bacterium. RNAcentral describes it as "bacterial LSU rRNA". It matches the Rfam family "Bacterial large subunit ribosomal RNA", at positions 1 to 1963 of the family's 2925-position model. Lineage: Bacteria; Candidatus Nomuraibacteriota. The record is from RNAcentral.
UAGGAAAUUAAGAGUAUAUGGCGGAUGCCUAGACUAAAAAAGGCGAUGAAAGACGUAGCAUGGCGGCGAUACGUUUCGGGGAGGUGCCUAGCAACCUUUGAUCCGGAAAUUUCUGAAUGGGGAAACCCCUCUAAGUAACCCUUAGAGACACUUGCGCUUGACGUAAGUGAGCAUACCAAGGGAAGUAAAACAUUUCAGUACCUUGAGGAAAAGAGAAAAAUAUUUAUUUUCUGAGUAGCGGCGAGCGAAAAGGAAAGAGCCCAAACCCGCACACUUACUUUGCCAUUGUUUUUUUUGUUCUGUUUUAAUUGUAUUACUAAAAAUAAUAUUGUUAAUUUAGAAUAAUAAAAUAAUGAAAUUUUGUUUUGAAAAAACAGAACGAUGGUAAAGUAAGUGUGCGGGGGUUGUAAGGUGACAAUGUAGAUUUAUCUAGAGAAGUUACAAAGUAUGUUAUUAGAUUAAACUUCUGGAAAGGAGUGCCGUAGACGGUGAUAGCCCGGUGAUCGAAAAUUUCAUACCUUCUUGAUUGUCAUUCUUGAGUAACUCAAGACAUGAAUAGCUUGAGCGAAUCCACCAGAACUAACUGGUAAGGCUAAAUACUUUUUUAGAUCGAUAGUGAACUAGUACCGUGAGGGAAAGNNGGGAAAGGUGAAAAGAACCCCGAUGAGGGGAGUGAAAUAGACCUGAAACCAUAUACUUACAAGGAGUCGGAGCGGACGUAUUUAUACGAUCCGUCACGGCGUGCCUAUUGAAGAAUGAGCCAACGAGUUUAUCUAUGCUGCAGGCUAAGCUGUUAGAACAGUGGAGCCUUAGGGAAACCGAGUGUUAAUAGCGCGAACAAUUAAUGUAGUCUAGAUAAGACCCGAAGCGAGGUGAGCUUGCCAUGAGCAGGAUGAAGUUUGUCGAAAGAUAGAUGGAGGUCCGAACCGGUGACCCGUGCAAUAGUCUCGGAUGACUUGUGGUAAGGAGUGAAAAGCUAAUCGAACCUCGUAAUAGCUGGUUCUCUCCGAAAUAGCUUUAGGGCUAGCGUUGUGUGUUCCUCUUGGGGGUAGAGCACUGGAAGAUUUCGACAGGGAGCAAUCUCGCGACAUCUAUCAAACUCCGAAUACCAAGAGCUAAAAGCACAGCAGUUAGGCUAUGGGGGCGAAGCUCCAUCAGCCAAAAGGGAAACAGCCCAGAUCUCUAAUUAAGGUCCCUAAAUAUAUACUAAGUGCGUAUGAAGGAGGUGAAAUUUCUCUGACAGUGAGGAUGUUGGCUUAGAAGCAGCCAUCAUUUAAAGAAAGCGUAACAGCUCACUCACUAAGAGAUUUCGCACCGAAAAUAAUCGGGGCUAAGUAUAUUACCGAAAUUGAGGGCUUCCAAUUUUUUAAAAUCGGGAGCGGUAGGAGAGUAUUCCACUCAGCGUCGAAGCCAAAGAGGUGACUCAUGGUGGAGCGUGUGGAAGUAAGAAUGUUGGCACAAGUAACCGCAAGGUAGGUGAGAUCCCUACCCGCCGAAAGAUCAAGGUUUCCUGGGCAAUGAUUAUCAUCCCAGGGUUAGUCGGUCCUAAGGGGAUGGCGAAAGCCGCACCCGAUGGGCACAUGGUUAAUAUUCCAUGACUUCUGUUGUAUCCGAUGAUAGGACGGAGUGUAGUAUAUAAAGCUCAUUAUUGGAUUUGAGUAUGUUAGUAAGGAUGUCUCUUAGGAAAAUCCGGGAGAUGACGUAAAAGUAACAUCCAAGCAAAACUUAAAUAUAGGGGUUCGCCUCUGUAGAUUUUAUAAAGCACGCUUCCAAGAAAAGUAUCUAAGGUUAAUGCAAUAGAAUCCGUACCGCAAACCGACACAGGUGAUCAGGUCGAGUAGACCAAGGCGAACGAGUGAGAGGUCUUCAAGGAACUCGGCAAAAAAGCAGCCGUAACUUUGGAAUAAGGCUUGCCAUUCUUAAUUUAUUAAGUUUGGCCGCAGCGAAAGUAUCUCUGGCAACUGUUUAUCAAAAACACAGCUCCCUGCGAACUCGCAAGAGGAUGUAUAGGGGGUGACACCUGACCAAUGCCAGAAGGUCAAAUAUCGGUGGUGCAUGGUCGCAAGAUUGUGUGCUGGCUGAUAUAAGCCCUGGUGAAUGUCGGCCGUAACUAUAACGGUCCUAAGGUAGCGAA